Saccostrea cuccullata (small rock oyster) is the source of this 238-nucleotide long non-coding RNA. RefSeq lists it as uncharacterized. Lineage: Eukaryota; Metazoa; Mollusca; Bivalvia; Ostreida; Ostreidae. The transcript is spliced from 4 exons. The record is from RefSeq and is a predicted model, not a curated record.
GCUAUUUUGCCUGAUGAAAGAAACAGAUGCAAAGAAGAAGAAAUGGUGCGCUUGCUACAAUGGACUUUGCUACUGCAAUAAGCGUUCUCUGGAUAUGUUGAAGGAAGAUGAAAAUGACCUUGUGGAAAAAAUGACAGAGGCGGAGUUCGCGAAGAGAUUAUUGAGAGCUGGGAUGAAGUAAUUUGAAAUCAGAAAAGAAGAAAGACUUUUAAUCGAAACAAAAGAAGAAGUGGAAAAA